UCAGAAUCUUCAAUGCAGAUGUUUACCAAAAGUCACUCACGGCAAGCCAUAUGCAUUUCAUGACGCUAAAUGUAUUUAUUUUCUUAAAAAGUUGCACCAGCUGACCACCCUGGAGUUUCUACUAAUUACAUUUCUUCACAUGGCUACUGUAGAAAAUGUUCUUAUCAGCAAACGCCACAUUUCUACAUUCAUGUUACCUUGCCCUGUUCUCUAUGUACCCACAUACAAACAAUUACUACAUAUGAACUGUCUGCAACACCCCAUUAAAACAUUACAUUUUAAAACAUGACUCAUAAUUAUAACUACUAGUGCUGAACGUCACAAAAGUACAUUUAUAGCUACUACAGUUUCGCAGCGGAGUUUCACACAUUGCUUCAACAACUAAUUGAACAUGUAAUUAGUUAUACCGUCUGUUUUAUAUACCGUUCAAUAAUGAUGUGUUAUAUGGGAGUGGUUUAGCUACAUGUAACACCACUUGCACGCAGGUUGCGUAUUACGUCAGAGUUGAUACUGGACUUGGAAGAUGUAAGUCCACCAUUAAUGUCCGCUCCAGUAGAGUUCAAUAAACUCUUAUUGUUAGAAGUUAAAUCUACGGUGUUGUGAUUUUUUAGUAUCACAAAAGAUGCAACAUGGUACCAGGAGUCUUCAAACUCAUUUUAUUUAGCCAACAAGUUAGGUGUGUGAGUAAAACUUCGAACUGUUUAAACUGCGCAACAGCUAAUCAGCGUCUAGGCUAAAGUGAAUACUGGCUAGCUAGCAAGAGAGCGUGUGCGUGUUGUAGCCUAGUUGGUUAACCUCGUGGAGUGAGCAAACAGCGCAAAGAAAGAAACUUCAUGGAACGGAUCAACUAAAACCCAUUACAGAGCUGAAACAUACUGGCAACGUGGAAGAUCAAUGUAGACGUUUCAAGCAGCGUUUCUCCCUCUACGUACAAGCGAAAGGAGCGGGUGAAGAGGAUGACGAAAGGAAGGUUGCCCUGUUUUUAACAGUCGCUGGCUCGGAUGCCAUUGAUGUGUUUAACAGCUUCCAGUUGACGUAGGUGGAGCAAAAGAACUUUAAACUGGUAAUCGAAAAAUUUGACACUGUUUGUACCCCGAAAAAAAAUUAAUCAUUCAAGCGAUAUGCUAUCAACAGUAGAAUUCAGACAGAAACCAAAUCUGUUGAGGAAUUUAUUAUGGACUUAAAGGUAAAAAGCCAGUCGUGUAACUUUGGGGCUCUAGCUGAUUCGCUCAUUUGCGAUAGAAUUGUCAUGGGGGUGAGGGACAAGUGACUGCGUGAAAAGAUACUGGGGGAAACAGACUUAACACUGGAGAAAGCGAUCCAGGUUUGCCAGGCCAGAGAAGUAACGUAUUGUAUUGGAAUGAAAAUAUUGGUGACACCUAGUGGUGAUUUGAAAUACUGUAGGCCUACUUAGGAACCAAAAUAGUUUAGGUAGGAACUUUAUUUAGGGAAGCUUUAGUUUGAAGGACACUCAGACAACAAGGUACACUGUUAUAGGAAGUUCAUUUUAUUAGAGAAACAUGUGGCGUGUUGUUCAUGUUCUGGUAACAAUCCAUUCCCAUCCAUAGUGUUUCGCCCUCAAAAAGGCAUUUUCUUUUUACACUUUCUACAUAAAACUUACCAGAAGAAUCCAACCGGUCUCUGGAUCUCUUUGUGUGGUUAAGAGUUUAGCUGGCUGUAUAACUGAGCUCAAGGUGUAAGCUUAGUGAUGACAGUACAAAGUCUAUGGACUAUAGUCAGAGCAAUGCUGACCAUGCAGUGAGCCACGUUGACAGAGUAGCGAUAGUCAGGGCAAAAGCUACCAGGCAGCGCGGCGGCGAGAAGCAGGCCCAGACACACAUGUGCAGGAGCAGUGCAGAGAUGUGGCCAUGCAGACGGUGUGGCGGUGAGCACCAGCCCCGACAAUGUCCCACAUAUGGAAAGGAAUGUCACUUUUGUGGCAUGAAGAACCACUUCAACCAAUCAAAGACAACCAAAGAAGGUCCACUGCAUCGAGGAGGACGACGGAUCCAGUGAUGCAUCCGGAGAAUUAUUUGUGGGCUCGGUGGCGCUCACAGGAGAAGAGGACAAAUGGACUGCUACAUACUCAGCCAACGGCACAGACAUUGUCUUCAAGCUGUACACAGGAGCACAGGUGAAUUUAAUACCAGAGACUGACCUGCGGUUAGCGGUAAAACCUGAUGUAAAUGAACAGAAAAAAGUGAAACUGAGCAUACCGUGGAGAAACAAUUCCCACUCUAGGUACAUGUACUCUAGUGCUUGACAUUGCAGGUAAACCAAAUGAGGUGCCUUAUGUGAUUGUGAAAGGGAACAAAUCACCCAUCAUAGGGUUGAAAACCUGUAACUCCUUGGGGUUAGUGAAACGGGUACACAUUGUCAAUGGUGAUACAGAUGCAGGUGCAAAGGUAGAGGAUGCUUAUGCAGAUGUGUUUCAAGGUAUAGGGAAACAGUACAGCAUAAAGCUAGAGAAACCCAACAAACCAGUGAUACAUGCAGCUAGAAAGGUUCCACUAGCCUUAAUGAUGAAACCGAAAUCUUUGAUCCAAAAAUGUCACAGCUAAAUACAGAAUAAAGAUAUGUGUGCAGUCUACUGAAAA
Molecule: long non-coding RNA, 2597 nt
Organism: Anguilla rostrata (American eel)
Lineage: Eukaryota; Metazoa; Chordata; Actinopteri; Anguilliformes; Anguillidae
Exons: 2
Source: RefSeq, a predicted model, not a curated record